UACAUGGGGUGCAAACGUUGCUCGGAAUUAUUGGGCGUAAAGCGCACGUAGGCGGUUCGUUAAGUCGGAUGUGAAAGCCCUCGGCUCAACUGAGGAAGUGCACCCGAAACUGGCGAGCUUGAGUACGAAAGAGGAUCGCGGAAUUCCCGGUGUAGAGGUGAAAUUCGUAGAUAUCGGGAAGAACACCCGUGGCGAAGGCGGCACUCUGGGACGGUACUGACGCUGAGACGCGAAAGCGUGGGGAGCGAACAGG
RNAcentral lists this ribosomal RNA (253 nucleotides) under uncultured bacterium. RNAcentral's name for it is "partial 16S ribosomal RNA". It matches the Rfam family "Bacterial small subunit ribosomal RNA", at positions 524 to 776 of the family's 1533-position model. The record is from RNAcentral.